AACGAACGCUGGCGGCAGGCCUAACACAUGCAAGUCGAGCGAGGACUUCGGUCCUAGCGGCGGACGGGUGAGUAACGCGUGGGAACGUGCCCUUUGCUUCGGAAUAGCCCUGGGAAACUGGGAGUAAUACCGGAUGAGCCCUUUGGGGGAAAGAUUUAUCGGCGAAGGAUCGGCCCGCGUUGGAUUAGGUAGUUGGUGGGGUAAUGGCCUACCAAGCCGACGAUCCAUAGCUGGUUUGAGAGGAUGAUCAGCCACACUGGGACUGAGACACGGCCCAGACUCCUACGGGAGGCAGCAGUGGGGAAUCUUAGACAAUGGGGGAAACCCUGAUCUAGCCAUGCCGCGUGAGCGAUGAAGGCCUUAGGGUUGUAAAGCUCUUUCAGCUGGGUAGAUAAUGACGGUACCAGCAGAAGAAGCCCCGGCUAACUCCGUG
Molecule: ribosomal RNA, 433 nt
Filed under: uncultured bacterium
Lineage: Bacteria
Description: partial 16S ribosomal RNA
Rfam family: Bacterial small subunit ribosomal RNA
Source: RNAcentral